Molecule: long non-coding RNA, 1606 nt
Organism: Rana temporaria (common frog)
Lineage: Eukaryota; Metazoa; Chordata; Amphibia; Anura; Ranidae
Exons: 2
Source: RefSeq, a predicted model, not a curated record
AACAUUUGGGGUUAAAAGAAUACAUAUAAAGAUCGCACAUAAUACAUGUUUCAUAGUGCUCCAUAUACAGGGAUAUGAUGAACUGAAGAUCAGCCAUUUGUCCCUGUUAGAGUUUAAACAAAGGUUCUCAGGCAUGAAUGGACACUGUUUUUAGGUUGUAAAAAGCCUGCCUGUGCUAUCUCCCCAAAUCAUAUCUCCUGGGGUUUGACACUUAUAAGAUAAGAGAAUGAAAAGCCUGGCACGGCAUGACACUAAACACAGUGUGGUCUCUGUGUUAUGAAACUAAAUGGGCUAUUCACAAAUCCCAGUGAAAUUAUAUAUCUUAAAUAGUAUUGUAUCUUUAUAAUGCCACAACGACAACAUGUAUAUCAGUAAUUCACAUAAUACUACUCGUUAAUACAUAGACACUACUGGGGUCCCAGGUAUAAGAUCCUAAAAUAACUUCAAAGUAUUAGACUGCCUUGAUCACAGCCCGACAUUAGUUUAAAGGAACUUUCCAAGGCAUGUGUGUUGAUCAUAAAACCUUAUCUCAAUCAUAACUUUAGAUGUUGCCAAGAUGGCUGACAACUGUUUGACAUAUAGGACAAUUUAUGAUGGUGCUACCCCAGAUAAAGUUAGAGAGGUCAUAAGUCAUGAUUAACUCUGCUUGACCUCAUCAUUAGGAAUAAUUCCUUAUACGCUACUGCCCCCUACAGGUUAAUAUCGGCAUUGGUUCAAUAUAGACUUAUCAAAACAUAUUAUCAUGUGACCUCACCAGUCAUGUGACAGUGAUGUGACACACCCAGUUCUUUGGGGAGAUAAAAAGGGAUUAUUCAGGACAGAGAGGGAGGCUGAUGGGAAGAAGCUUGAUGGGAGAGAGAGAGCUGAUCUCUGUAGAGCUGAUCUCUGGAAGCUGCUCUGAUCUGUGAAGGAAGCUGGAAAGCAGAGAGUGACCGCAAACAUGUAGAGGGUCUCAAGAGUCCUUCAUUAGGACUUUCCCUUCUCAAACAGAAAGAUCUCUUAUUACUGAAAAUGAUUGACAAUCCAGACCAGAUCGUUGAUUGGUAAAGGUGAAGUGAUCUACCAAAGACGCAACGAUCGCAUGGAUGAUGUUAAUCCUUGGCACCCCAUUCCGGAGGGAACCGUCACCAAACCACACUCCAGACCAGAUCGUUGAUUGGUAAAGGCGAAGUUAACCACCAAAAGAUACCGCGAUCGUCUGGAUGAUGUUAAUCCGUGAUGCCCAGUUAAGGAUGGAACCUGCCGCCACAUCGAAUCCUUCAUCAGGAGUCAUGAAGCGAGAUGCUCCAGGAUUCGUAUUGUCGGAAAGAAAGAUUUGUUGCAGAAGUCCCUUGUUCAUUUGAAUCCAAGAAUAUCCGUCGAAAGAAGGGAUAUUGAGUCCCAUUUACAGCUUGUAACCCUACAAGAACGGAUUCACUGAAGAGUUCUUCAAUUGCUGGUUUUCCAGUUUUGUUUUUAUUACAUUUGAAAUGGGGGGGUGACACCACCACUGCAACAGUUCAUUUUGUUUUUAUAAAGACUUGAACUCGUCAAGGAAGAUCCAAGUCAUACAAGAACACUCUUUAUCAUAUGGACGAAGAGAGGAACAUUUUUUUUUUUAGUAUAA